RNAcentral lists this ribosomal RNA (372 nucleotides) under uncultured bacterium. RNAcentral's name for it is "bacterial SSU rRNA". It matches the Rfam family "Bacterial small subunit ribosomal RNA", at positions 524 to 896 of the family's 1533-position model. The record is from RNAcentral.
UACGUAGGGUGCAAGCGUUAAUCGGAAUUACUGGGCGUAAAGCGUGCGCAGGCGGUGAUAUAAGUCAGAUGUGAAAUCCCUGGGCUCAACCUAGGAACUGCAUUUGAGACUGUAUCGCUAGAGUGUGUCAGAGGGGGGUAGAAUUCCACGUGUAGCAGUGAAAUGCGUAGAGAUGUGGAGGAAUACCGAUGGCGAAGGCAGCCCCCUGGGAUAACACUGACGCUCAUGCACGAAAGCGUGGGGAGCAAACAGGAUUAGAUACCCUGGUAGUCCACGCCCUAAACGAUGUCUACUAGUUGUCGGGACUUAAUUGUCUUGGUAACGCAGCUAACGCGUGAAGUAGACCGCCUGGGGAGUACGGUCGCAAGAUUA